CAAACAGGAAAAGGAGAAGAGAUGAGAAGCCUACAGGCCACAGAUCUGGGCUUUAGAGACCUAGUCUUUCUGACCACAAGUUUGGUUUCUCUGACUCAAGGAUCUGAGAACCCUGCAUAACCGGAAUGAACAUGAUCACACAGUAUGUCUUCCCAAGACUGAACUUUUGCUUCUCUGGCUGAAACAGUCUCACCUGAGCAUGUGACCCCUGUACCAAGACCUGUUUGUACAUUAUGCAGAUUUUUAGUCUCAAAUUCCUUCACCUACGGGAAGAAAUGUGGUUGUAUGAUUAAGUUCCAGGACUGGGAAUCAAGAUUCCUGGGAUCUAUUCCUGGCUCUGCAAGAAAUGGAUAAGUAUUUUAACUUUUGUCUCCAGUUCCACACAGAUAUGAUAGUACCUAACUGAUAGAGCUGUUAUGAGGCUUAACUAAUGUGUGUGAAGUGCUUUUCAGAUCCUUGGGCACUAUAGUAGUGAAAUGUGAAAGAUCAUAAAUCAG
Long non-coding RNA from Chelonia mydas (Green sea turtle), 497 nucleotides. RefSeq lists it as uncharacterized. The record is from RefSeq and is a predicted model, not a curated record. NCBI's taxonomy places the organism in Eukaryota, Metazoa, Chordata, Testudines, Cheloniidae. The transcript is spliced from 3 exons.